CAUCGGAACGUGCCCAGUAGUGGGGGAUAGCUCGGCGAAAGCCGGAUUAAUACCGCAUACGACCUACGGGUGAAAGCGGGGGAUCGCAAGACCUCGCGCUAUUGGAGCGGCCGAUGUCAGAUUAGGUUGUUGGUGGGGUAAAAGCCUACCAAGCCGACGAUCUGUAGCUGGUCUGAGAGGACGACCAGCCACACUGGGACUGAGACACGGCCCAGACUCCUACGGGAGGCAGCAGUGGGGAAUUUUGGACAAUGGGCGAAAGCCUGAUCCAGCCAUGCCGCGUGCGGGAAGAAGGCCUUCGGGUUGUAAACCGCUUUUGUCAGGGAAGAAAUCUUCCAGGCUAAUACCUUGGGAGGAUGACGGUACCUGAAGAAUAAGCACCGGCUAACUACGUGCCAGCAGCCGCGGUAAUACGUAGGGUGCAAGCGUUAAUCGGAAUUACUGGGCGUAAAGCGUGCGCAGGCGGUUAUGCAAGACAGAUGUGAAAUCCCCGGGCUUAACCUGGGAACUGCAUUUGUGACUGCACAGCUAGAGUACGGUAGAGGGGGAUGGAAUU
RNAcentral lists this ribosomal RNA (556 nucleotides) under uncultured Burkholderiales bacterium. RNAcentral's name for it is "bacterial SSU rRNA". It matches the Rfam family "Bacterial small subunit ribosomal RNA", at positions 116 to 668 of the family's 1533-position model. The record is from RNAcentral. Lineage: Bacteria; Pseudomonadati; Pseudomonadota; Betaproteobacteria; Burkholderiales.